AGUCGAGCGAACGGACGAGAAGCUUGCUUCUCUGAUGUUAGCGGCGGACGGGUGAGUAACACGUGGAUAACCUACCUAUAAGACUGGGAUAACUUCGGGAAACCGGAGCUAAUACCGGAUAAUAUUUUGAACCGCAUGGUUCAAAAGUGAAAGACGGUCUUGCUGUCACUUAUAGAUGGAUCCGCGCUGCAUUAGCUAGUUGGUAAGGUAACGGCUUACCAAGGCAACGAUGCAUAGCCGACCUGAGAGGGUGAUCGGCCACACUGGAACUGAGACACGGUCCAGACUCCUACGGGAGGCAGCAGUAGGGAAUCUUCCGCAAUGGGCGAAAGCCUGACGGAGCAACGCCGCGUGAGUGAUGAAAGUCUUCGGAUCGUGACAACUCUGUUAUUAGGGAAGAACAUAUGUGUAAGUAACUGUGCACAUCUUGACGGUACCUAAUCAGAAAGCCACGGCUAACUACGUGCCAGCAGCCGCGGUAAUACGUAGGUGGCAAGCGUUAUCCGGAAUUAUUGGGCGUAAAGCGCGCGUAGGCGGUUUUUUAAGUCUGAUGUGAAAGCCCACGGCUCAACCGUGGAGGGUCAUUGGAAACUGGAAAACUUGAGUGCAGUAGAGGAAAGUGGAAUUCCAUGUGUAGCGGUGAAAUGCGCAGAGAUAUGGAGGAACACCAGUGGCGAAGGCGACUUUCUGGUCUGUAACUGACGCUGAUGUGCGAAAGCGUGGGGAUCAAACAGGAUUA
RNAcentral lists this ribosomal RNA (739 nucleotides) under uncultured Staphylococcus sp. RNAcentral describes it as "bacterial SSU rRNA". It matches the Rfam family "Bacterial small subunit ribosomal RNA", at positions 60 to 780 of the family's 1533-position model. Lineage: Bacteria; Bacillati; Bacillota; Bacilli; Caryophanales; Staphylococcaceae. The record is from RNAcentral.